Molecule: ribosomal RNA, 773 nt
Filed under: uncultured bacterium
Lineage: Bacteria
Description: bacterial SSU rRNA
Rfam family: Bacterial small subunit ribosomal RNA
Source: RNAcentral
AGAGUUUGAUCAUGGCUCAGAACGAACGCUGGCGGCGUGCUUAACACAUGCAAGUCGAGUGCGCGUCCGUAGCAAUACGGAUGGCGCACGGCGCACGGGUGCGUAACACGUGGGUAACCUGCCCUUUGGUGGGGAAUAACCCCGGGAAACCGGGGCUAAUUCCGCAUAAGAUCCGCAAGGAUGAAAGCCGCAAGGCGCCGAUGGAGGGGCCCGCGCACGAUUAGCUAGUUGGUAGGGUAACGGCCUACCAAGGCGAUGAUCGUUAGCUGGUCUGAGAGGAUGGCCAGCCACACUGGAACUGAGACACGGUCCAGACUCCUACGGGAGGCAGCAGUGGGGAAUCUUGCACAAUGGGCGAAAGCCUGAUGCAGCGACGCCGCGUGGGGGAUGAAGCUUCUCGGAGUGUAAACCCCUUUCGACCCGGACGAAUACCUCGCAAGAGGGGUGACGGUACGGGUAUAAGAAGCCCCGGCUAACUACGUGCCAGCAGCCGCGGUAAUACGUAGGGGGCCAGCGUUGUUCGGAAUUACUGGGUGUAAAGGGUUCGUAGGCGGUGAGGCAAGUUGGGAGUGAAAUCUCUGGGCUUAACUCAGAGGCUGCUUUCAAAACUGCUUUGCUUUGAGUGUGGGAGAGGCGCGUGGAAUUGCAGGUGUAGCGGUGAAAUGCGUAGAUAUCUGCAGGAACACCCGUGGCGAAAGCGGCGCGCUGGACCAUAACUGACGCUGAGGAACGAAAGCUAGGGGAGCAAACAGGAUUAGAUACCCCCGUAGUCC